CAUGUUUUCAGAGUCAGCGCAUUGAUUAUGCUGUCACUAGCCAGAACCCUGAGACGGGAAGAGAUCUAUUGGAUCACCUGUGUCCAGAACUGGAGCAGCCCCAUGCCUCCCCAGAGAGAGCGUGACAAGGCCAUCUUAGGCACACGAGCAAGGGAGAAAUUCGAGCCCUGCAAGAUUUUACUCUGCUAGAGUUGUCAACUUCUGCAGGUUUCUGAACUUACUCUGAGAGAGACGCUGCUGCAUCUAGGGUAAAGAAACACACAAAGAGACAGAGAGAGAUCUUCCAUCUACUGGUUCCCUCCCCAAAUGCCUGCAAGAGAUGGGACGGGGCUGGGCCAACACCAGGAGCCUGGAACUCCAUCUGGGUCUCCCAGUCACAGUGCUUGCAUUUCCUAAUGAGCUGCAUCUGAUCUCCGGGCAUUUCUUGGGGCUGUUUAUGAGAACGGAACAGCCAAGGCGACUUGGUGGUGUCAUUUAGGACGGUGAGCAUCUGUAGAAAGCUUACUUUUGAGAAUGUCUCUCGGUCCCUUCCUUCACCCACGUUGCUCUGUGACCGAGUGAGGCUGCUGAGGAUAACCGAGACCUGAAUUCUUCACAGAAAAGACAUCAGCACUGCACGCAGCAGAACAAAGAUCUGGUAAGUCAGGCCCAGACUUUCCCUUCCAACUGAGGAAACAAUUGAUAAACUCCUUGACUCGUGAUAAACACCUGAUACAUGCAAAAGUGCCUACUACAUAGAACGGUAGAAGUAAAAUUUUCUUCUCCACCUGCCCAGCAACAAGUCCCACUGCUCAGAAGCAAGCACUAUUAAUAGUCCCUCAUGUGUUCUCUUAGAAAUUUUCAGAGAAGAGAAUAGAGGAAAAAUUAUUUUUUUUCUGUGCCCCAAUUUCCUUUUUUUUUUUCCCCAGAGCUCACAGUACUACAUAUCACCAUUGAAUCUUUACCAGGCCAGUCCCAUAAAUAUCUCAAGCUAUUCCACAUAAGCUAGACAAUUUGAAAAAGUAAGAGAUGGUGAUUACUGUUAGCAACAGACUAAAUAAUGCCUCCCCCAGCCUGCAAAGAUUUCUCUUUAUGUCUGUAGGCUUUUCAUCCAAGUUCUCAAGUUCAUUUUGAAUUUUGCACUGGUGUUUCUGUAGUCAAAAAGGGGACUGCUUUUAUUAAAAUUAAGUAGGGGCUUAAAACCCCAUUGAUCCUGCAAAUUCCUGGGGACUGCAUGAUGAGGGUGCCCAUUGGCCUGCCACAGAACUGAAUGUGCUGCUCUUACAUUCUCAAGUAUUGUGUUGCUUCAAGGUACUGUACCCUCACUGCUCUUCUUAAAUCCUGAAAUGGGACUGUGUCACUCACUCCCCUGGCCUGUCUUCCCGCCCAGCUUCCUACUCUCCCUGGACAUGCAGAAGAGUGUCUCUUUCCUUUCCUUGACUUCAGGUCAACCCAGAAUAGGAAACCCCAGGUAACCACCUCAUUAAUAGAAGCAAAACUGAGUGAAUUUGGGAGGGAGGUCAGGAAGAGCUUCGUGAUUCACCACGUCUCCACCUCCCCAGCCCCAGCUUGUUCGGGCAACCACCCCUUCUCCAGACAACGCUCAGCCCCUCAGGAGCAGGGCAUCCCUCGGAUGAGAACGAAGCUUGCUUGAUCUAUGGGGGAGUCCAUCCCUGCUGCGAGCACCUGGGCCAGCAAUGGGCCUGUGAGCCCCGGGAAUCCCGGGGGCAUCUACUCAUGCUAAGGAGAAAACAGAAUAAACAGAGGGUCUUUUGUGGGGUGGGCUUUUGGUACAGUGGUUAGGAAGCCACUUGGUAUGCCUGUAUCUCAUAUCAGACUGCCUAGGUUCAAGUCCAGGCUCUGCUUCUGGUUCCAGCUUCCUGUUAAUGCAGACCCUAGAGGGAGGCAACAGGUGAUGACGACUCCAGUAGUGGGGCCCUGCCACCAACAUGGAAGACCCAAAUAACUUCAGCCUUACCCUGCCCUAGCUGUUGUGGGGAUUUAGAAAGUGAAUUGGCCAAUGGAAGAGUGAGCUCGCUCGCUCUCUCUCUCUCUCUCUCUGCCUUUCAAAUAAACACAUAUAAAUAAAUAAAAAUUCUAAAAAGAGAGAGAGGGUCCAGCAAGGUUAUGAGGCCCAGAACUUGAUGAUGUUCACCAGCAGGUGAAGCCAGCCUCCAGGGGAAUGCCAAGCCAGUGCAGUGGCCUCUGGGCUCGGUCAACCCUGACUGUAACCUAUCAGCUCCCUGGUCUGUGAACCAGGCCAGUCUCUCAUUUAGAAACCAGUUAAGUUCAAUAUCUGUUACUCAACACCACAAGCAUUCUAAAUGAUUGAAAGAUAAGCAAGCUUCAAAGGGACAAAACCAAUCUCCUCUCCACAAACCACAUUUUGUCCCCUUGGGCAAAGAAACUGCCUUGUGAAAAGGCACGCUGUGGGUGCUUUUCAAUAUCCUUAUGGCUCCUUGCAUUUCUAUAACAUACCAUGUAAUUGUUUGGCUUGCAUUUUUUUUCUGUAUGGAAUGAAGACUCAAAUUGUGUGUUUUUUUUCUUUUCUUUCUAAUUUAGAGCCCUCAGACAUAGCUAAGUAUACAAUAAUAACAGCAUCAUAAGAAUAACAGUUGCAUGCAAAGCCCUGGACUAUACAGGAGAGUGAGGGAAAGAAAUGUAAAGAAAAAUGAGCAAGGCAUAGCUGUACAUAAAACACUCUCAUUCUGAUUGUACCUCCCUAGAAACUCAAAGAAAGAGCAAUUAAUGUUUUUACUUGACAGUAGCCUUGAGUGGAGGAAACAUUUGACCUGAGUCUUGAGGCUUUUUAGGAAAUUAUUUUUAAGAUUUAUUUUAUUUAUUUUAAAGGCAGAGUGAUGGGGGGUGCACAGAGAGAAAGAUAGAUUGAUCUUCCAUCCUCCUGUUCACUCCCCAAACAUUCACAACAGCUGAGCUGGGUUAGACUGAAGCCAGAAGCUUAGAAUUCCAUCAAGAUCUCCCAUGUGGAUACAAGGGCCCAAGCACUUGGGCCAUAUUCUGGUUAGCAGGGAGCUGGGUCAGAAGUGGAAUAGCCAGGACUCAAACUGGCACUUUGAUGUGGGAUGAUUGCAUCACCAGAGGUGCCUUAACUGGCUGCAUCACAACACCAGCCCUUUUUAAGAAAAAAUAUAAUUAAAGAAUAAGUUUAUUUUGAUGCAAAAAAAUUUAAAGCCAUGCAUUUUCCAUGAACUUUUAGAAGAUCUCAUAUACUUAUUAGUAUUUUGCCAUUUUUAUUGAUUAAUUUUAUAAUAAAACUUUUUUUGUGUGACAGUUGUAGAAUCACAGGUAGUUAUUAAAUAUUAAAAGUUAACCGAGACACAUUAAAAUCCGAGUUUAUUUGAGCAUCCUGUGAUUCAUGAACCAGGCAGUGCCAAACCGCAAGUCAUUUGGGCUCCCUCAAGGGUGCAAAGGGAAAACCUGUAUAAGAAAUUUAAGGAAGCAAGACCACAGAAUAUUUGAUUGGUUAAAGUGUAACAGUAGCUUUAAAAGUCCCUAGUUAGGGGUUAGCUGGCAGUUUCUGAUGGUUAGGCUUGAGUUCACUUCUUAGGAUACACCCAUCUACUCUGAAUUUGAUUGGGGUUUACUUAUAGGAACACAAGGCCCUGUGACUGUCUCUGUCUAUUGGCCUCCCAACUUAGCAUAAGAAAUAACGUGAGAGCUCCCCUGUAACUUUUCUCCAGUCUCCCUGAGGGUGACGUCUUGCAGAACUGGAGUACGGUGUUACAUGGAAGAUAUGUUGACACAGUCAAGAACAGCACCUCGACCACCACAAGGAUCCUCGUGUUGUCCUGUAAUAGCCACACCAUCGUCUCUGCCACCAUGACCCUUUCUUUAGACACUCUGGAGACCACUAAUCUCUUCUGCCAUUCUAUUCCUUUGUCAUUUCCUAAAUGUUAUUAUAAAUGGAAUCAUAUGAUAUGUAGCCUUUGGGAUUUGCCUUUCCCUCAGUAUAACCUUUUGGAGAUUCAUCCAAGCUUUGUGUGUGUUACCAUUUCAUUCCUUUUUAUUGCUGAGUGGUAUACCACAGCACGGAUGCACAACAGUUUCUUUAACCAUUCACCCACUGAAGGGUAGCUGAGUGAUUUCCAGUUUGGGGCUAUAAAUUUGUUCCUAUAAAUAUUCAUGUGUAAGUUUUUGGGUAAACAUAAACAUUCAUUUCUUUGGAAUAAAUACCCAAGAAUGCACUUGCUAGAUUGUUAGUUACAUCUUUAAUUUUUAGAGAUUUAUUUAUUUAUUUGAAAGGCAGAGCAAAAGAGACAGGGAGAGACAGGGAGAGGCUAGCUUCCAUCCACUGGUUCACUCCCCAAAUGAGCACCACAGCUAGGACCCGACCAGGCUGAUACUAGGAGCCAGGAACUACCUCCUGGUCUCCUACAUGGAUGGCAGGGGUCCAAGGACUUGGGCCAUCUUUCUGCCUUCCCAGGUGCAUUAGCAGGAAGCUGAAUUGGAAGUGGAGCAGCCAACACACAAACCAGCACUCUGAUAUGGAUGCAGGCUUUGCAAGCAGUGGCUUAACUGGUUAUGUUACAAUGCUGGCCCCAUGUUUAAUUUUUUAAACAAAUUGUCAAACAGUUUUCCAGAGGCCUGUAUCAUAUUACAUUUCUGCCAGUGCUUGAGGAGUGAUCAAGUUUCACUGCUUGUGUACCGGCAUCUCGAGUUAUCAAUAUUUUUAGGUUAGCCAUUCUGAUAGGGGUUUAGUGAUAUCUCAUUGUGCUGGCAUUUCACCAUAGCUAAUGCUGAUGAACGUCUUUUCAUGAGCUUAUUUCCCAUCAAUGUAUCUUCUUUUGUAAAAUGUCUGCAUAUAUCUUUUGUCUGUUCUCUUGCUGGAUUUUUUUUUUAAAGCCUGAUCUCCUUUAUUCAUCACAAAGCUUUUGCAUAGACCUUUAAAAUAUACAAAACACUGGCCAGAACUCUGCUUACAGACGACCAUCAUCCAUGAUCACCACGUCUUGCUGGAUUUUUGUUUUGUUUUGUUUUAUGGCAGAGUUUUGAAGGCCUCUGAAUAUUCUAUAUACCAGUCCUUUGUGAAGAAUGUGAUUUGCAGACAUUUUCUCCCCUUCUGUAGCCUGUCUUUCCAUGCUCUUCUCAGGGUCCUUUGCAGAGAGAAAAUUUUGAGUGUUAGAAAAUCUAAGUUACCAGUCUUUCCUUUGAGGGAUUGUGCUUUUGGUGUUUAAGAAUUUUUUGCCUGACCUUAGAUCCUGAAGACUUUGUCCUAUGUUUUAUUCAGAGAGUUUUCUAGCUUCAUGUUUUACAUGUAUGCCCAUGAUCCACUUGAGGGAAUUUUUUUAUUUUUAAAGUUUUUAUUGUAUUUAUUUGAAAGGCAGAGCUAGACAGAGAGUGAGAGAGGCAGAUAUUUUCCAUCCACUGGUUCAUCUCUAAAUACCUGCUACUGUCGGUGCUGGUCCAGGCCAAAGCUAGGAGCCUAGAACUCAUUCCAGAUCUCCCACAUGGGUGGCAGGGUCUGAACUGCUUGAGAUAUUACCCGCUAUCUCCCAGGGUGCAGAUUAGCAGGAGUUUGCUAGCUGGAAAGGAGAGCAGAGCUAGGCCCCAAACCAAGGACUCCAACAUGGGAUGCAGAUGUCUCAAGUAACGCCUUAACCUGCUGUGCCAAUUGCCUACUUCCAUUCUUUCCUUCCAUCAUUAUGCUUGAAGUAAGAUUCCUUAUAAGAGCAUGUAGUGGGUCAUUUUCCUUUUGUCUUUUAAAUGAAGUUUAUUUAUUUAUUUGAAAGAGAGAAAGAGAGGGAAGGAGGACGGCAGGGAGAGAGAGAAAGAAAGAAAGAGAAUCAUUCUUCUACCUAAAUACCCACAACAGCCAGGACUGGACCAGUCUGAACCAGGGACUGCAUCUGGGCCUCCCACCUGGAUGGCGGGAACUCAAGUAUUUGGGCCAUCAUCUGCUACCUUUUGGGUGCCACUGCAGAAAAUGAUUGGAAACAAAGGUGAGUCUGAAUCCCAGGCACUGUGAACAUGUGAUGCAGACAUCCCAAGUGGCAGCUGAACCUGCUGCGCCAUAAUGCCUGCUCAUGGAUCGUGUUUCUUAAUAUAAUCUGCUAAUCUCUGUCUUUUAAGUGGUGCGUUUAGACCAUCUGUUAGUGGGUUAGAGCUUAUGUCUGGCAUUAUGUUGUACUUCCUUUUUUGUUUCUGUUUUCUUUUUUUUCUGUCUUCCUGUGGGCUCCUUGGACAUUUUUUAGAGUUCCAUUUUGAUUCAUUUAUAUUCUUUUAUGUGUAUCUGUGUAUAGAUUUUUCAGUCAUUUCCGUAGUUUUAUAAGGUUAUUCUAAUUAAACCACAAUGAAAUCCAACUAUGUACUGGUUAAAAUGGCUAACAAUAGAACAAAACCUUGGCAGUGCCAUGUACAGGUAAGAAUGUAGAGCAACUGGAAUUCUUAUACAGUCACUAUGGAGAAUUGCCUCAUGGGCUCUUAUAAAGUUAUAUAACACUUACCAGAUAACCUAGUAAUCCCAUUACUACACUUAUAGCCAAGUGGAAUGAAAACCUGUGUUCACCUAAAAACACAUGCAAAUGUUUACAACAGCAUUAUUGAUAAUUAGCAAAAAUGGAACACAACCUAAAGUCUCUCAAAGAACCAUGGUCCAUUGGCACAAUUUAAUAUUACUUACAAAUUGCAAAGAGUUAUUGAUACAUGUAACAACUUGGGUGUAUCUUGAGGGCAUUAUGUUGAAUGGAAAUAGCCAGUUUGACAAGGUUUCACUCUAUUUGAUUCUAUUAAAUGGUAUUCUAAAUAAAGAGUAGUAAAUUACAGGUCAGUAGUUCUCAGAGAACAGGGACGGAUGAAGAGAAGUUUGAUCAUAAAGAGGUAGCACAAAGGAAUUUGUGACUGUGAUAAAACUCAUCUGUGUUUUGAUUAUGUUGGUAAUUACAUGAUUAUACUUCUAAAAAGUCAGAAUUGUGCAUCAAAAACAGUGAAUUUCACUGUAUGUAACUAAACAUUAGAGAAUAAUAUGUGUCAUAUUCUUUCAAACAUAUCUUAUUCAUUCAACAUUUUUGUUCCUAAGUCUAUAUGUCUUGAAAAAAAUUAACAGAAGACAUAUUCCAAGUGGAGCAACUAUUAGGAACAAGGAUCUGCAAUUAAGAUAACUCUGGGUCAUCUAUACACUCAGUUCUAAAAUGAAAAUAGUCAUUAAAAGGAACGGGUGCCACUUGGUUCUCUGAGUAAUAUCACUUUGAGAUGAAGGUUGACAGAGGUCAUCUGUCACCAGCCAUUGACUCUGCUCUUUAAGGCUGUUACUCCCCAAAAUGAGUUCUUUCAGGGACCUCAGCUAUGUCAACAUUUAGUAAAGAACGUGGGGAAGACCAGACUUCACAUUCUAAAUUUUUUUUUUGCCAGUCCUGUAAGAAUCAAGUUUAUUUAUAAAUACUGCAUUGGAAAAAGAACCAGAUAAGUUCUAGUUCUGUUCUUUCAAAUAAGUAGUAGAUGGCAUUCAAAGUUCGUUAACCUACUCAGUUGCUUUCAACUUUUUGUGAGAAGUUGUAUUGUCUUGCAUUAUUUUAAGUCUCUCCAUCUAUAAAAGAUAUGAUAUUACUCCAACCUCUAAAGCAAUAAAUUAUCCAUUUAACUGCCUGACAUAUCUCAGGAACUUAUCUAGGUGCCCUAGAUACAAAUAAUAAGAAAGAGCACUCAGGUUAGUGGGAACAACAGCAGAGAUGUAUAAAAUAGUAUGGUCAGUGUGAGGGGGUGGGGGGGGGGACCAACAGAGAAUGGUUUAUGGCCAGUGUGGGAUCCAAGCAUCUUGGAUGCUUACUUGGUGUCCCCACCCUUUAAACCAACUAUUGUGUGUCUGUUCUCUACAUCAGAUCUUAUUUGCAAUAGAAAACAGGAGGCCUGGAGUGAGUACUUGGCAUAGCUGUUAAGACACCAAUUAUUACUCCCUCAUCCCAUAUGAUGGUGCCUAGGUUCAAGUCACAGCUCUGCUCCUGGUUCCAGCUUCCUGCUAAUGCAUACCCUGAGAGGCAGCAGGUGGUGGCUCGAGCACUUUGUCCCUGCCACCCACAUGAGAGACCUGGAUUGACUCUUUUAUUAUUAUUAUUAUUAUUGACAGGAAGAGUUAGACAGUGAGAGAGAGAGACAGAGAGAAAAGUCUUCCUUCCGUUGGUUCACCCCCCAAAUGGCCACUACGGCCAGCGCGCUGCGCCAAUCCGAAGCCAGGAGCCAGGUCGUGGGUUCAGGGCCCAAGCACCUGGACCAUCCUCCACUGCCUUCCCAGGCCACAGCAGAGAGCUGGCCUGGAAGAGGGGCAACCAGGACAGAAUCCGGCGCCCCGACCGGGACUAGAACCCGGGGUGCCGGUGCCGCAGGCGGAGGAUUAGUCAAGUGAGCCGCGGCGCUGGCCCUGGAUUGACUCUUGACUUCAGCCUGGUCCAGUCCGCACUCUGACAGGUAUUUAGGGAGUGACCCAGAGAAUGGAAGAGAUCUCUCUGUAACAGUCUGUCCCUGUUUCUCUAUCUUCCAAAAUAAAUAAAUAAUCUUAAAAAAACAAACAAACAAACAAAAAAAAACAAGAAUCCUUUCCUCUGCUUCCCCCAGCCUGUCGGUGCACGUAAAUGAGCAGGAAGCUACAGGCUCUGAUUUGUGCUUAAUGCUGGGAUGUGUAUCCUCUCAAGCCUUCAUUUCUUAUUUAGCAAAACAUAAAGUGAAGGCAUCUGAAACUGGAGGGCCUCCUGUUUCAGUAAAUGUAAAGACGUAAAAGCUUUCCCAGUGAUGAGUAAGCAUUUAGAAUCUGGC
This is a non-coding RNA of Oryctolagus cuniculus (rabbit), 8742 nucleotides long. The record is from RefSeq and is a predicted model, not a curated record. NCBI's taxonomy places the organism in Eukaryota, Metazoa, Chordata, Mammalia, Lagomorpha, Leporidae.